AAUGAACGCUGGCGGCGCGCCUAAUACAUGCAAGUCGAGCGAGAAGACGUAGCAAUACGUUUGUAAAGCGGCGAACGGGUGAGGAAUACAUGGGUAACCUACCCUCGAGUGGGGAAUAACUAGCCGAAAGGUUAGCUAAUACCGCGUACGCUCCUUGGACUUCGGUUCAGGGAGGAAAGCGAUACCGUGGGUAUCGCGCUCUUGGUUGGGCUCAUGUCCUAUCAGCUUGUUGGUGAGGAACGGCUCACCAAGGCUUCGACGGGUAGCUGGUCUGAGAGGACGAUCAGCCACACUGGCACUGCGACACGGGCCAGACUCCUACGGGAGGCAGCAGUAAGGAAUAUUGCGCAAUGGGCGAAAGCCUGACGCAGCGACGCCGCGUGGGGGAUGAAGGUCUUCGGAUUGUAAACCCCUUUCGGG
This 420-nucleotide ribosomal RNA is filed under the name uncultured bacterium. RNAcentral's name for it is "bacterial SSU rRNA". It matches the Rfam family "Bacterial small subunit ribosomal RNA", at positions 29 to 440 of the family's 1533-position model. The record is from RNAcentral.